RNAcentral lists this ribosomal RNA (407 nucleotides) under uncultured bacterium. RNAcentral describes it as "partial 16S ribosomal RNA". It matches the Rfam family "Bacterial small subunit ribosomal RNA", at positions 30 to 526 of the family's 1533-position model. The record is from RNAcentral.
AUUGAACGCUGGCGGCAGGCCUAUCACCUGCACGUCGACCGGAGCGGCGGACGGGUGGGUAAUGCCUAUGACUCUGCCUGGGACUGGGGGAUAACGUCAGGAAACGGGCGCUAAUACCGCAUACUCUCAGAAUAGCCUAGGUGGGCUUAGCUAGAUGGUGGGGUAAAGGCCUUCCAAGUCCACGAACCGUCACUGGUCUGAGAGGACGAUCAGUCACAAUGGAACUGAGACACGGUCCAGACUCCUACGGGAGGGAGCAGUGGGGAAUAUUGGACUAUGGGCGGAAGCCUGAUCCAGCCAUGCCGCGUGUGUUAAGAAGGUCUUCGGAUUGUAAAGCACUUUAAGCUGGGAGGCGUUACCAACAGAAUAAGCAACGGCUAACUUCGUGCCAGCAGCCGCGGUAAUUC